UAAUUUUUCGACAGGUCCCUUCUAAAUGGUUUCUCUCGCCCUUAUUAAGCUUGCCGGUCUUCCACGAAUUACAACAGCCAGGUACUCCUGAGCACUUCCUGCUAAAAUCAAAAUGGAUACAACCACGAUCCCCAUUAUCCAGAGGACAUAGAGAAGUGUCCGUCAAACUGAAAUGCAGAGGAAUUAACAUGAAAGCUACAAACAGUCUAAUAUGGGGCAGAGGCAACCUCCAAAUCCAUCAAACCCAGGCAAUCGGCUGCCGGAGUCCACGUUCGUAACCCCAGGACGUUACUACUGACCUCUGUCACCGACCUGCCAAAUUCCAAAGAGGAACUGGAUGUGAUCGGCCACCAUAUGCCACAACGCUUUUCAGAGCCUCCCACUGUAUGCUACAUAUUUCACCGCCCCUGGACUCUGCUCGCAUCUCACAGCCCAAAGCGUAUCACAC
This is a long non-coding RNA of Prionailurus viverrinus (fishing cat), 448 nucleotides long. RefSeq lists it as uncharacterized. The record is from RefSeq and is a predicted model, not a curated record. The transcript is spliced from 3 exons. NCBI's taxonomy places the organism in Eukaryota, Metazoa, Chordata, Mammalia, Carnivora, Felidae.